GAGGAAAGCUGGCGGCGUGCCUAAUACAUGCAAGUCGAGCGAACGGACGAGAAGCUUGCUUCUCUGAUGUUAGCGGCGGACGGGUGAGUAACACGUGGAUAACCUACCUAUAAGACUGGGAUAACUUCGGGAAACCGGAGCUAAUACCGGAUAAUAUUUUGAACCGCAUGGUUCAAAAGUGAAAGACGGUCUUGCUGUCACUUAUAGAUGGAUCCGCGCUGCAUUAGCUAGUUGGUAAGGUAACGGCUUACCAAGGCAACGAUGCAUAGCCGACCUGAGAGGGUGAUCGGCCACACUGGAACUGAGACACGGUCCAGACUCCCACGGGAGGCAGCAGUAGGGAAUCUUCCGCAAUGGGCGAAAGCCUGACGGAGCAACGCCGCGUGAGUGAUGAAGGUCUUCGGAUCGUAAAACUCUGUUAUUAGGGAAGAACAUAUGUGUAAGUAACUGUGCACAUCUUGACGGUACCUAAUCAGAAAGCCACGGCUAACUACGUG
Molecule: ribosomal RNA, 497 nt
Filed under: uncultured bacterium
Lineage: Bacteria
Description: partial 16S ribosomal RNA
Rfam family: Bacterial small subunit ribosomal RNA
Source: RNAcentral